This 1317-nucleotide long non-coding RNA is filed under the name Oreochromis niloticus (Nile tilapia). Its description in RNAcentral is "lncRNA (ENSONIG00000042258.1)". The record is from RNAcentral. Lineage: Eukaryota; Metazoa; Chordata; Actinopteri; Cichliformes; Cichlidae.
AGGCUCUCAGUGGAUUAUGAGGCACUGUUGAAAGAACACAAAGAUGUGAAGCAAAAGCUGGAAGCCUCUAAAGCCAGGAGCAAAACUCUAUCUGCUGAAGUCAAAACUCUGAAGCAUCAAAUAUCAACCCUGAUGGAGAAGGGGAAACACGAUGAUGAGUUCGUGGCUGCUUUGAUGGUAAGAAAUUAGACUCAAGACAAAUAUCUGGUUCGAUUCGUAUAGAUUCUAUCUUUUAAUAUAUGUUAAUAUAUUAAUAAGAAAGUAGGCAUUGUAAGACUUUAAAUAAGGUAUCUCAUGCAUGUGUUGUUAAAUACCAUGGCAGUUAGUACCAAUUUCACUUGACAUUUAUGAGUUGAAGUCAACAUACUGCAAAGCAGAGGAUAUCCUGUGAUGUGUCCAUGCUUUACUACUACUGUUCCUAUUAAGUUAGCAUAUCUUUUCUACCUGUGGCAGAAGCAGCAGGCCCAGAUGCAAACGGUAUUAAAACGACUCAGCCAAAAACAAAACGUACAGAGCAAGGUGAUGCAGCAGAGUGUAGGACAACAGCUGAGCAACAUACCUUCAGAGCACAGUGCUAUCGUCCAGAGAUUUAAGGAGAUACUUGCUGAGAAAGAUGCCAUUAUCAAAAAACUACAGAAAAGCCAGCAAUUCUCUGAUAAGGUGUUGAAGAACAAUGAUGUGCACAGACAGCCCAGCAUCAGGAUAACAAACUGUACUUCUGCUGUUUCCCCAGAAGAGGGAGACAUUACCAAUAGAAUUCCAUCUUCAGGGUACGUGUGCUGGCUUAAUAUCUGAUAAUCAUUAAAAUAUGCUUAUUGUUAGUUUAGCUUAGUGGGUCCCAAUCUGUGGGAUAUGGAUCCAUUGCACGUGGUGAGAAAUUAAAUAUUUAAGCAAAAAAUUACUUAAGUAAAAUUAAGCUGGGAACCUUUUUUUUUGAGGUUUGAUAAAGAAUUAUGACGUGUUGAGUAAGAACUGUUUUAGCUUCAUACAACUUUGAGAAACCCUGAUUUACCUCUUCAGGACAGAUAAUUAUUGUUCAUCUCAUCUUCUGUUUUGCACUUGAAACCAGCCUCUGAGGCUAAGUGUCACACAUAGCACUGAUAUCUCUCGUCUUGUCUAGAAACAUAAGGCUAAAUAAUUACCUAAGGUUAACGUUGGGGUGCACUGUUAUCAGCGUAUUGAUGACUGUGAUGUUAAACACUUCCGUAUUCCUCGGGAUUUCUGUUUACCGCCUUCAAAUGUUUUGUUUUUCAGUUCAAUUUCUAAAUUUGGUCACAAACUGGUGCUGCCAGCUGUGGGAAGUGGCAUAGAAUUCAC